RNAcentral lists this ribosomal RNA (452 nucleotides) under uncultured organism. RNAcentral describes it as "partial 16S ribosomal RNA". It matches the Rfam family "Bacterial small subunit ribosomal RNA", at positions 332 to 800 of the family's 1533-position model. The record is from RNAcentral.
UACACUCCUACGGGAGGCAGCAGUGGGGAAUAUUGGACAAUGGGCGAAAGCCUGAUCCAGCAAUGCCGCGUGAGUGAUGAAGGCCUUAGGGUUGUAAAGCUCUUUUACCCGGGAUGAUAAUGACAGUACCGGGAGAAUAAGCCCCGGCUAACUCCGUGCCAGCAGCCGCGGUAAUACGGAGGGGGCUAGCGUUGUUCGGAAUUACUGGGCGUAAAGCGCGCGUAGGCGGCUUUGUAAGUUAGAGGUGAAAGCCCGGAGCUCAACUUCGGAAUUGCCUUUAAGACUGCAUCGCUAGAAUCGUGGAGAGGUGAGUGGAAUUCCGAGUGUAGAGGUGAAAUUCGUAGAUAUUCGGAAGAACACCAGUGGCGAAGGCGACUCACUGGACACGUAUUGACGCUGAGGUGCGAAAGCGUGGGGAGCAAACAGGAUUAGAUACCCCUGUAGUCCCAUGA